CAGUUGACGCUUCUUUCUUAUCGAACUUCGGUUCACCAAGAAAGAGGAGUAGCGAACGGGUGAGUAACACGUGGGUAACCUGCCCAUCAGCGGGGGAUAACACUUGGAAACAGGUGCUAAUACCGCAUAAUGCUUUUUCUCACAUGAGAGAAAGCUGAAAGGCGCUUUUGCGUCACUGAUGGAUGGACCCGCGGUGCAUUAGCUAGUUGGUAGGGUAACGGCCUACCAAGGCAACGAUGCAUAGCCGACCUGAGAGGGUGAUCGGCCACACUGGGACUGAGACACGGCCCAGACUCCUACGGGAGGCAGCAGUAGGGAAUCUUCGGCAAUGGACGAAAGUCUGACCGAGCAACGCCGCGUGAGUGAAGAAGGUUUUCGGAUCGUAAAACUCUGUUGUUAGAGAAGAACAAGGAUGAGAAGAGAAUGUUCAUCCCUUGACGGUAUCUAACCAGAAAGCCACGGCUAACUACGUGCCAGCAGCCGCGGUAAUACGUAGGUGGCAAGCGUUGUCCGGAUUUAUUGGGCGUAAAGCGAGCGCAGGCGGUUCUUUAAGUCUGAUGUGAAAGCCCCCGGCUUAACCGGGGAGGGUCAUUGGAAACUGGGGAACUUGAGUGCAGAAGAGGAGAGUGGAAUUCCAUGUGUAGCGGUGAAAUGCGUAGAUAUAUGGAGGAACACCAGUGGCGAAGGCGGCUCUCUGGUCUGUAACUGACGCUGAGGCUCGAAAGCGUGGGGAGCAAACAGGAUUGGAUACCCUGGUAGUCCACGCCGUAAACGAUGAGUGCUAAGUGUUGGAGGGUUUCCGCCCUUCAGUGCUGCAGCUAACGCAUUAAGCACUCCGCCUGGGGAGUACGACCGCAAGGUUGAAACUCAAAGGAAUUGACGGGGGCCCGCACAA
RNAcentral lists this ribosomal RNA (895 nucleotides) under uncultured bacterium. RNAcentral's name for it is "bacterial SSU rRNA". It matches the Rfam family "Bacterial small subunit ribosomal RNA", at positions 59 to 928 of the family's 1533-position model. The record is from RNAcentral.